UACGGAGGGGGCUAGCGUUGUCCGGAAUUACUGGGCGUAAAGCGCACGUAGGCGGCUUUGCAAGUCAGAGGUGAAAGCCCGGGGCUCAACCCCGGAAUUGCCUUUGAGACUGCAUCGCUAGAAUUGUGGAGAGGUAAGUGGAAUUCCGAGUGUAGAGGUGAAAUUCGUAGAUAUUCGGAAGAACACCAGUGGCGAAGGCGACUUACUGGACACAUAUUGACGCUGAGGUGCGAAAGCGUGGGGAGCAAACAGG
RNAcentral lists this ribosomal RNA (253 nucleotides) under uncultured bacterium. RNAcentral's name for it is "partial 16S ribosomal RNA". It matches the Rfam family "Bacterial small subunit ribosomal RNA", at positions 524 to 776 of the family's 1533-position model. The record is from RNAcentral.